UAAUACCUUAUACGCCCUUCGGGGGAAAGAUUUAUCGGAAUUGGAUUAGCCCGCGUUAGAUUAGAUAGUUGGUGGGGUAACGGCCUACCAAGUCGACGAUCUAUAGCUGGUUUGAGAGGAUGAUCAGCAACACUGGGACUGAGACACGGCCCAGACUCCUACGGGAGGCAGCAGUGGGGAAUCUUAGACAAUGGGCGAAAGCCUGAUCUAGCCAUGCCGCGUGAGUGAUGAGGGCCCUAGGGUCGUAAAGCUCUUUCGCCAGAGAUGGUAAUGACAGUAUCUGGUAAAGAAACCCCGGCUAACUCCGUGCCAGCAGCCGCGGUAAUACGGAGGGGGUUAGCGUUGUUCGGAAUUACUGGGCGUAAAGCGUACGUAGGCGGACUGAUCAGUGAGAGGUGAAAUCCCAGGGCUCAACCCUGGAACUGCCUUUCAUACUGUCAGUCUUGAGUUCGAGAGAGGUGAGUGGAAUUCCAAGUGUAGAGGUGAAAUUCGUAGAUAUUUGGAGGAACACCAGUGGCGAAGGCGGCUCACUGGCUCGAUACUGACGCUGAGGUACGAAAGUGUGGGGAGCAAACAGGAUUAGAUACCCUGGUAGUCCACACCGUAAACGAUGAAUGCCA
Molecule: ribosomal RNA, 620 nt
Filed under: uncultured Rhodobacterales bacterium
Lineage: Bacteria; Pseudomonadati; Pseudomonadota; Alphaproteobacteria; Rhodobacterales
Description: bacterial SSU rRNA
Rfam family: Bacterial small subunit ribosomal RNA
Source: RNAcentral